AGCUUUAUCAGUCAGGCAAAAUCAAAGAUGACAAGAAGAAUACUCAAGAAGGCAGUGUUGCCUUGUGCUAAGAGCACUGGUCCCUGGAAUGGCUGCCCGCACUCACUAGACUUGGAUGCUGCAGCCACCUCAUCUCCCCGCCUCCGCAGAUGUUCCUGAAUGCCUUUGGUGAGCCAAGGGGG
Molecule: long non-coding RNA, 182 nt
Organism: Gavialis gangeticus (Gharial)
Lineage: Eukaryota; Metazoa; Chordata; Crocodylia; Gavialidae
Exons: 3
Source: RefSeq, a predicted model, not a curated record